CCUACGGGCGGCUGCAGUGGGGAAUAUUGCACAAUGGGCGCAAGCCUGAUGCAGCCAUGCCGCGUGUGUGAAGAAGGCCUUCGGGUUGUAAAGCACUUUCAGCGGGGAGGAAGGCGGUGAGGUUAAUAACCUCAUCGAUUGACGUUACCCGCAGAAGAAGCACCGGCUAACUCCGUGCCAGCAGCCGCGGUAAUACGGGGGUGCAAGCGUUAAUCGGAAUUACUGGGCGUAAAGCGCACGCAGGCGGUCUGUCAAGUCGGAUGUGAAAUCCCCGGGCUCAACCUGGGAACUGCAUUCGAAACUGGCAGGCUAGAGUCUUGUAGAGGGGGGUAGAAUUCCAGGUGUAGCGGUGAAAUGCGUAGAGAUCUGGAGGAAUACCGGUGGCGAAGGCGGCCCCCUGGACAAAGACUGACGCUCAGGUGCGAAAGCGUGGGGAGCAAACAGGAUUAGAUACCCUAGUAGUC
RNAcentral lists this ribosomal RNA (464 nucleotides) under uncultured Klebsiella sp. Its description in RNAcentral is "bacterial SSU rRNA". It matches the Rfam family "Bacterial small subunit ribosomal RNA", at positions 338 to 795 of the family's 1533-position model. Lineage: Bacteria; Pseudomonadati; Pseudomonadota; Gammaproteobacteria; Enterobacterales; Enterobacteriaceae. The record is from RNAcentral.